This 349-nucleotide RNase P RNA is filed under the name pig gut metagenome. RNAcentral's name for it is "Bacterial RNase P class A". It matches the Rfam family "Bacterial RNase P class A". From Rfam's summary of the family: Ribonuclease P (RNase P) is a ubiquitous endoribonuclease, found in archaea, bacteria and eukarya as well as chloroplasts and mitochondria. Its best characterised activity is the generation of mature 5'-ends of tRNAs by cleaving the 5'-leader elements of precursor-tRNAs. The record is from RNAcentral.
AUAGUCGCGUAUAGCAAUUCCGAAAGGAAGCGUACGAGGAAAGUCCGGGCUCCAUAGAGCAAUGAUGCUGGAUAACGUCCAGUGAGGGAGACCUUAAGGAAAGUGCAACAGAAAAUAACCGCCCAUAUGAUUUCUUUAUGAAAUUUUAUGAGCAAGGAUGAAAAGGCGAGGUAAGAGCUCACCGCUGGUAUGGUGACAUACUGGGUCUGUGUAAACCCCAUCUGGAGCAACACCCGAAAAUAGAAGGCUAAGACUGCUCGUCAUCUUCUGAUUGAGGUGGCUUGAGACAUAUAGUAAUAUAUGUACUAGAUAAAUGACUAUUCAAGACAGAACCCGGCUUACAGAUUUA